CUAAAUCAACUGUCCCCAUUCCUCAAGCCAAGGAUAAGUAUUGGCCUGUGGCCUGUUAAGAGGCUGGCCAUACAGCAGAAUCUGAGUAGCACAUGCAUGAGCAAAGUUUCAUCUGUAUUUACAGCUGCUGUCCAUUACUCACAUUACUGCCUGGGCACCUCCGGUUAGACCAAGGAGAACAUCAGAUUCUCAAGGAAGCACUAACCCUACUGUGAACUGCACAUGUGAGGGACUCAGGUUGUGCCCUUUUUAUGAGAAUCUAAUCCCGAAAACAUCCUCACCACGUCUGUGGAAAAACUGUCUCCCAUGAAACUAGUCUCUGCUGCCAAAAAGGCUGGACACAGCUGCUCUAAAUGUCUGUGUACAUUUCUGUUCAUGAAGGAAAUGACUGAAGGUCCCUUUGGGGAAAGGGUCUGUGUUCUAGAACCACUCCUGGAACCAGCUGCCUUAGUGUGGGUCCUCAGAAGCCAGUCUCUGAGCUGGAGAUUUGUGGACAAGAGGUUCAUCGGGAGGUGCCCUCGAGAACACCAGGAUGGAGUUAGAGAAGACCACUGGCCAUGGAGGCUGGGCAACUCUGAUGCAGGCACAACAAAGGGUCAGCCAGGACCACAGGGAGCUGUGUACCUGGACGGUCCUUCAGAGCUGCCCCAAAUAGGAACAAGGAAGCAAGGCUUUGUACAUCACAGGCAGGGGUGUGGCCUCAAAAGGCUACUCCUUGAGGGCAGUGCUCGGAGACAGACCUGCUGUGGGAAGCCACCACUCCUGGCAACAGGAGAACGGGCACAUAGUGCUGAAGGGGCAUCGGGGUAGCAUACCACAGCAUCCACGACGUGCCUCAGACUCAGGUUUUUCACAAAAUUAAAUCCCAACUUCCUCAUUCACCCCAGAGGUUUCCUCAAAUCAGCAAAUGGUACCACUAAGCAGCUAGUGUCUGCUGUCAAAAUCUCAAAUUCAUCCUUGUUCCUCAGUUUCCCUUUCUGUCCCUAAUCCAGUCCGCCACAAGUACCACUGGUCCUGCAUCGAAACAUUGUCCCCAAUUUGUCAACUUCUCCCUAAUCUCUCUGCCACUACUGUGUGCCAAGUCCCAGACUGCUCACUGCAGCCCUGCUGUGGCUGUCUUAGGUGGUUAGGGGCUUCUAUAACCAAAAACUUUAGAUUAGGUGAUUUAUAAACAACGGAAAUAUACUCAUCGCAGUUCUGGAGGCUGGGAAGUCCAAGUCAAGAUACCAACAGAUUGGGUGUCUGGUAAUGGCUGCUCUGCUUCACAGAUGGUGCCUUUUUCCUUCAUUUUCACCUCUCUCAGGCCUCUUUAAAAAAAACAAAAAAGGUACUGAUUGCAUUGAGGAGGCC
This is a long non-coding RNA of Heterocephalus glaber (naked mole-rat), 1350 nucleotides long. NCBI's taxonomy places the organism in Eukaryota, Metazoa, Chordata, Mammalia, Rodentia, Bathyergidae. The record is from Ensembl.